Non-coding RNA from Paramuricea clavata, 310 nucleotides. Lineage: Eukaryota; Metazoa; Cnidaria; Anthozoa; Malacalcyonacea; Plexauridae. The record is from the annotation of a GenBank genome assembly.
CGGUGGCCAAGUGGUUAGCGCACUUGCCUUUCACCUCUGAGGCUGCAGGUUCGAGUCUCACUAAGUACCUUCUCAGUGCGACCCGAACCCAGUCCCCAUGUGAAAAGAGUAAAAGUCAACACUCUGCCGAAAACCGUGGGUUUUCCCCGGGUACUCCGGUUUCCUCCCACAGGGAAAGUUGACAGGGUGGAUUAAGGUAAAAAAAAAGGGCCCACAGUAAUUGGCGUAUGCUGUUGUGGUGACCCUGCCCUAGUUGGCAAAGCUAAAUAAAUAAAUAAAACCACUGCGUAUAUAAAUAGCGAAACCACCG